GGGGACGACACUGGCGUGGGAUCAUCGAGAAGACUGCUUGGGAAACCCAACAGGAAAAAGAGGUAGUUUGAGCCAAGAAAAGCCACCAGACUUUUCUUUUGGCUUGAGGCAUUGUGUAUACAUUUGAAUAAUAAGAGCCAAAUUAAUGUUACAAUUCUGAUGUGACUGUUGAGCCACAGUGGUGUGCUAAUCACAGUUUUCCAGGGAUUAUCUUCAGUCCUUAUGCUAACUCUGCAAGAUGGGGAAAUUGAGGUCAAGAGAGAUCUCAGAUCUGGAACAAGGCUGGAGAGCGGAGUGCCUUGAAUACUAAGCUAAGGGAUCUCAGCUCUGCAAUGCGGACCAGUGAUGUUUCAACAUUUCCUCAUUUGAAUGCUUAUUCAUUGACCCACUUCCUACAUGCCAUGUGACCAGAUGUCCCAAGAAGAGUUCCUUUGGGAUGAAGUUAAUUCUCAUCCUUUGUAUACCAUUGUGAAAUAGCACUGCGAGAUGGUGACAAGACACAUCUGAAGCAAUCACCUAGACGAGUGCCAAGGAUCCAAAAGCUUUAGCUUCUCAUCCUGCUGUUAACUUGUUCUGCUAGCCCAGACGGAAUCCUGAGCUCUCCUAUAGUUAAACAAGAAGGCUUCAUCCUCAGAACCAGUGGCUCUGGCCCCUUCUCCCACCAUGAACUCGACGUAAUAAAUAACCAGAGGAUACUGGAGUAAGAGGUGCCACAACCUUGUGUGACCCAGAUACUCGUUCAUUGAUUUUUCCCUACUAAUUAUUGAGCACUUCAGAUGCCCUGGUUGUUGAGGAUAAGCAAUAAAGAGGAUCGGGACCUGCUCUGUCAACUCUGUUACGUGGUUUACUGACCAAGGUAACCAGGAGAUCAGCCUGUGGAGUUUGGGGGUCAGGAGGGCUUGAGUUUGAGUCUUGAAUCCAUCAUUAAUCAGUUGUGUGACUUUGGAAACUCAGUCUCUUCAGUUCACUCAAAAGGAGGCUGGGCUAUGAGAAGUCCAACAAAGCACAUGGUCUGUACAAUUAACGUCAGUGUACAAAGAAGAAGCACAUCCAGCCACAGGUAGAGGAGUCAGGAUUUGAACCAAGGUGGCUGAACUUGAGCGCUUGCACUCACCAGCAGGAGGUAAGCUUCGUGUGGGCCUUCUUGGGAAGUUGGAAGCAGAGGGUGAUGCUUAGGGAGGGUGAAUAGGAGGCUUUGGUCCUGGGGACAGCAUGUGGGCUUUGGGCUUUGGGCUUUGGGCUUUGGGAAGAGGGCAAGACAGGAUGACCAUGGACAUGGAGUUGGGUGUUUGAGACAGCUGUCACCUGUGGGAUCUUGAAGACUGAAUUCUAAAGGUGAAUCACACUGUCAGAGCUUCUGUUUCCUUAGAGAUGGUCUAGACUCAUCUCAUGCUCUUUUAAACUGUGCCCUGUGGACCCUUAGAGUUCUCCAAGGAGUGGGUAGAUGGGGUCCUAGGUGGGGGCUCAGCACAUGGGUCUUUAAGACGCUCUUCCUUGCUUCAACUAGAGCGAUUUCACUUUGCUUUUCACUUUUUUUUUUUUU
Long non-coding RNA from Lynx canadensis (Canada lynx), 1543 nucleotides. RefSeq lists it as uncharacterized. Lineage: Eukaryota; Metazoa; Chordata; Mammalia; Carnivora; Felidae. The record is from RefSeq and is a predicted model, not a curated record. The transcript has 4 exons.